RNAcentral lists this transfer RNA (73 nucleotides) under Lactobacillus delbrueckii subsp. bulgaricus. RNAcentral's name for it is "tRNA-Gly". It matches the Rfam family "tRNA". From Rfam's summary of the family: Transfer RNA (tRNA) molecules are approximately 80 nucleotides in length. Their secondary structure includes four short double-helical elements and three loops (D, anti-codon, and T loops). The record is from RNAcentral. Lineage: Bacteria; Bacillati; Bacillota; Bacilli; Lactobacillales; Lactobacillaceae.
GCGGAAGUAGUUCAGUGGUAGAACAUCACCUUGCCAUGGUGGGGGUCGCGGGUUCGAAUCCCGUCUUCCGCUU